RNAcentral lists this long non-coding RNA (1877 nucleotides) under Numida meleagris (helmeted guineafowl). RNAcentral's name for it is "lncRNA (ENSNMEG00000012101.1)". The record is from RNAcentral. Lineage: Eukaryota; Metazoa; Chordata; Aves; Galliformes; Numididae.
GGGGCACGGAGCUGCGGGAGCAGAGCCCUGCAAGGGCACGCAUCCACGCGUGCUGUGCCCUGCUCAUCCUGGGGACAGCUUCCACCUUGGGUGCCAUGAGCGGGUGACCCUGGGAUGCUGGCACCGGUGCCCUUCCAAUGGAAGGGGAGGCGGUGUCCCAUGGUUGGCAGCUGCACUGAGGGGAUCCCUGCCCUGCUGGGGAGCAGGGAUUGAGCGCAGCACCUGGUCAGUGGGUGACGGUCUGAGCUCAGCCUCUCAGCUGCUGGGUUUCGUGCAUUUACUUCGCAGGGCCGAUGGGGAGGAAGGAGGGGUCAGAGAGGAGAGCUAAGGAUGGGAACAGGGGAACUGUGCAUAGGAGAGACAGCAAAUGAAGUAGCCAGACAGAGGAAGGAGGUCUGCAAAGACUUGACUUGGCAAUAAAAGAAAGUGGAAAGACAAAAACAGUCUCCCUGCAAAACACUGGAAUUUAACUUUCACAGCUGCAAAUGGAAAACAAUCACUUCCCACACGAAAAUAACUGAUGGGCUGCAUUAACGAGGAGAUGUCUGAGGAAUUUCAAUUAAAACCCAGCGACACUGACAAAGGCAAUGAGAUUGAAGUGUUCAAAGCAGCAGAGAAUGCUGGGAGAGAUGCCAGGCCUUCGAGCGGUUGGGAGAACUUAACCUUGGCUGGAGGCACUGCCAUAAGUGACAGCAGAGACAAGCUGAGCCACAAGCAGAGCAUGGCAGGAGCCCGCAUCGGCUUCCCUGCAGCUGCCAGGCCACCCGGUGAAGAAGAUGAGUAUCUUCUAAGGCAGAUGAUAUUGUCUUUGGUGGGAAGAGCAUGUCCUUACAGCCUCUCCCCUGCAGGGACAGCUCUGCUCUGCCUGAGCCAGUGAUGGAACCAGAGAGCAGCGGGCUCAGGCUGCUGGGAAGGGCAUUGCCAGGCACCCCCAAGGGGAGACCAUGAAGGUAUCCUUUCUUGUCUCAACCACAGGUUUGGAAUUUGCCAGGAAAGGAUCUGCCUGAGUCAGGCAGGAGGCAGAGAGCUGCGGUCCUCCAUGUGCUGCAGCACGGCAGAGCUCUCAGGCUGACGGCCCUAAUGGGGUUGUGCUGAUGGGCUGCCUCAAGAAACACAUCCACUUACACGGAGAUGUAUGGGAGUAACAACCGACCGCUGCCGGCCCUGCUCAGAGCCUGCCAGAUCCUGCAGCCCUGCUUCCCCGAGGCACGCUGCAUUUCCAGGCGUGUGUUGUUCCAUUAAGCUAUUUUUAGCAAACACAUUCCCCUUAUUUCAGCAGCAGUUAUCUGAUUAGUUCCUGUAACUAUAUGAGGAGCAACAUUUCCAGGCAUGACUGAGAGCUGUGAGCAGGCUGUGCCUCUUCACAUGCAUUUUCUCAAAGGGAGAAACUUGCCGAGGCUGCUCCUCCCGCGGUGCUCCCAUGGUUGCACGGCUCCAAGCACUGGCACUGCAUGCAGCCGAGCUCUGCAACACGCGACCUUUGGCAGAGCAGCAGCCAGCAGGCAGUGUCCCCUCUGCCACCUGCGAUGAGGGGCCAUCCCUGUGCCGUGUUGCUGUGAUGCAGCGGCGAUAAGCAGCUGGCUUUGUUUGCUCUGAGCACGCGGCUCUUAAAGAUUUCUAUCGUCAUCGGCUGGUGGCGGGGAGGGGGGAAAAACAAAGUCUCUUUGCUAAAGCAGCACUGGUGCUGGGGAGGCUGUGCACCCUCUCCCCUGCGCAGGGAAUGCCCUGUGCCAGCUUUGUUGCUGCACGGGAACAAGCUAAAAAUCCCGUGGAGCCAUCGGUAGCUCCAGCAUUGUACUUUGCUCCCUCCGCCACUAUCGACCACAGCUGUCCUGGAAAAUCAGAUUAUAGAGCAAAGCCUUGGCAUCAAGUCUGCU